This 432-nucleotide ribosomal RNA is filed under the name Escherichia coli. RNAcentral describes it as "partial 23S ribosomal RNA". It matches the Rfam family "Bacterial large subunit ribosomal RNA", at positions 2366 to 2797 of the family's 2925-position model. The record is from RNAcentral. RNAcentral also lists the same sequence under 1 other name. Lineage: Bacteria; Pseudomonadati; Pseudomonadota; Gammaproteobacteria; Enterobacterales; Enterobacteriaceae.
AGCUUGACUGCGAGCGUGACGGCGCGAGCAGGUGCGAAAGCAGGUCAUAGUGAUCCGGUGGUUCUGAAUGGAAGGGCCAUCGCUCAACGGAUAAAAGGUACUCCGGGGAUAACAGGCUGAUACCGCCCAAGAGUUCAUAUCGACGGCGGUGUUUGGCACCUCGAUGUCGGCUCAUCACAUCCUGGGGCUGAAGUAGGUCCCAAGGGUAUGGCUGUUCGCCAUUUAAAGUGGUACGCGAGCUGGGUUUAGAACGUCGUGAGACAGUUCGGUCCCUAUCUGCCGUGGGCGCUGGAGAACUGAGGGGGGCUGCUCCUAGUACGAGAGGACCGGAGUGGACGCAUCACUGGUGUUCGGGUUGUCAUGCCAAUGGCACUGCCCGGUAGCUAAAUGCGGAAGAGAUAAGUGCUGAAAGCAUCUAAGCACGAAACUUGC